AGGGCGGACAACAAACCGUCA
RNAcentral lists this non-coding RNA (21 nucleotides) under Arabidopsis thaliana (thale cress). Lineage: Eukaryota; Viridiplantae; Streptophyta; Magnoliopsida; Brassicales; Brassicaceae. The record is from RNAcentral.